This 604-nucleotide long non-coding RNA is filed under the name Fragaria vesca (wild strawberry). RNAcentral's name for it is "long non-coding RNA (FVES_LNC002111)". The record is from RNAcentral. Lineage: Eukaryota; Viridiplantae; Streptophyta; Magnoliopsida; Rosales; Rosaceae.
CCACUCACUACAAACAAGCUAGUUGUACGAAGAGCAGAAAUGGGAGCCUUGGGAAAGCCAAGGCCUUCUUCGCUCAUCAUUACCAUGUUUUAUUGUUUGACAUUCUGCUUCUUAGCUACUACUAGUGUUCAUGCUACUAUUCCUCUUUUACCUCCCAUAAUCCUACCUCCUAUUCCCAAGCUACCUCCUAUUCCCAUCCUACCUCCUUACAAGUCAUCACCACCUCCGCCACAGCCCAAGUCUUCACCACCUCCGCCUUCACCACCUCCGCCACAGCCCAAGUCUUCACCACCUCCGCCACCUCCGCCUUCACCACCUCCGCCACAGCCUAAGUCUUCACCACCUCCGCCACCUCCGCCUUCACCACCUCCGCCUUCACCACCUCCGCCUUCACCACCUCCGCCACCUCCGCCUUCACCACAGCCUAAGUCUUCACCACCUCCGCCACCGCCCAACUCAUCACCACCUCCGCCACCCUCACCCUCACCUCUACCUCCUUACAAGUCACCACCACCACCAUCUCCAUCACCAUCUCCAUCACAAUCUCUACCAUCUCUAUCACCACCAUCUCCAUCACCAUCUCUAUCACCAUCUCCAUCACCAU